Molecule: ribosomal RNA, 245 nt
Filed under: uncultured bacterium
Lineage: Bacteria
Description: partial 16S ribosomal RNA
Rfam family: Bacterial small subunit ribosomal RNA
Source: RNAcentral
UACGAAGGGGGCUAGCGUUGUUCGGAGUUACUGGGCGUAAAGGGCGCGUAGGCGGCUGUCCAAGUCAGGUGUGAAAGCCCGGGGCUCAACCCCGGAAAUGCACUUGAGACUGGGCGGCUCGAGGACGGGAGAGGAUGGUGGAAUUCCCAGUGUAGAGGUGAAAUUCGUAGAUAUUGGGAAGAACACCGGUGGCGAAGGCGGCCAUCUGGACCGUUUCUGACGCUGAGGCGCGAAAGCGUGGGGAG